AUACCGCAUAUGUUCGCUCAUUCGGUUGGGCGAGUAAAGCAGCGAUGCGCUUAGGGAUGGGCCUGCGGCGGAUUAGGUAGUUGGUGGGGUAACGGCCUACCAAGCCGAUGAUCCGUAGGGGGCGUGAGAGCGUGGCCCCCCACACUGGCACUGAGACACGGGCCAGACUCCUACGGGAGGCAGCAGUGAGGAAUAUUGCACAAUGGGCGCAAGCCUGAUGCAGCAACGCCGCGUGAGGGACGAAGGCCUUCGGGUUGUAAACCUCUUUUCUGAGGGACGAGGAAGGACGGUACCUCAGGAAUAAGUCUCGGCUAACUACGUGCCAGCAGCCGCGGUAAAACGUAGGAGGCGAGCGUUAUCCGGAUUUACUGGGCGUAAAGCGCGCGCAGGUGGCUUCGUGAGUCGGACAUGAAAGCUCCUGGCUUAACUGGGAGAGGCUGUUCGAUACUGCGGGGCUUGAGGUUGGGAGAGGGACGCGGAAUUCCCGGUGUAGUGGUGGAAUGCGUAGAUAUCGGGAGGAACACCAGUGGCGCAAGCGGCGUCCUGGCCCACACCUGACGCUGAGGUGCGAAAGCGUGGGUAGCAAACAGGAUUAGAUACCCUGGUAGUCCACGCUGUAAACGAUGUCAACUGGGUGUCGGUAGUUUUACACUAUCGGUGCCGAAGCUAACGCG
Molecule: ribosomal RNA, 674 nt
Filed under: uncultured bacterium
Lineage: Bacteria
Description: bacterial SSU rRNA
Rfam family: Bacterial small subunit ribosomal RNA
Source: RNAcentral